Molecule: non-coding RNA, 359 nt
Organism: Caenorhabditis elegans
Lineage: Eukaryota; Metazoa; Nematoda; Chromadorea; Rhabditida; Rhabditidae
Source: Ensembl
AGAAAACCUUCUCGGAAGUUGUCGCCGUUUUUGAUUCCAUGACGUCUUACACGAUGUCAGUAGUGUCGAACCAAUAUCGCACGUGCCACCGGAGGUAGUGCAAUAACAUUGCGAAUUGUUUCGGCGAAAGAAUGGAAACGACGGUGGCGAGUUAUCGAUCAAUACUGCGGGCAGUGGCCGGUGGAUCGGCGCGCGUUCGUCUCUCGCUCCACUCGUACACUCACACAUAGGGACAGGCACAUACACAUGCGUCUCAGUCCGUCGUCACUUUUCGCUCCUCUUUUUAUACGCGGCAUUUCAUCCCGAUCUCCUCAUUUUCCUCCACUAUUGAUGAACCUACUUUGCUUGACUACAGCCAC